Hevea brasiliensis (rubber tree) is the source of this 780-nucleotide long non-coding RNA. RefSeq lists it as uncharacterized. Lineage: Eukaryota; Viridiplantae; Streptophyta; Magnoliopsida; Malpighiales; Euphorbiaceae. The transcript is spliced from 3 exons. The record is from RefSeq and is a predicted model, not a curated record.
AAAAAAAAAACAAAUAUUAGUAGACGCAAGUGCUCUGUCCUUUGCGGUUGGGUCUUGCUCCACUUGAUGAUUUACUGCUCAGAUCUCAUGGGGAAGAAUAUGUCAGCUCUUUCAUAAUUUGCUGAACCUGGUAAACCCUAAAGUUCAGCUCUCUCACUGUAGCGUUCCAAGUGCUAACUGGAUCCAUCCAAGACUGUGUGGUGUAACCAGCAGGUUCUUCAGUUGCUAAGUAUUUUUGGCUAUUAUAGAAUCUAGACCUAGGACUUGGAUUUGGAUUUGAGUAGAAGAACAAUCAUUGCAGAUCCAGUGAGAAUUCUUCUUCUCUUUUUCUUUGAAUUUAAUAUCUUUUUUUUAAUUUUUUUAAUUGCAGAUCCAUAGGAGGUGAUCAUUCAAUAUUUGUUGUAAAAUAUCUGAGGAAAAGAAGAUGUAAAAUAUGCAAAAUCUGUGGCUUUGGCUAUUUUCUCCCUUUGUCCACUUGUGAUGUUUUGUAGAGAUGGAAGCAUUCAUUGGUUAAAGAGUUUAUUUGACAUUGCAAUUCGAUCUGCUGUUGAGAAAAACAUUUUUUUAAGAGCAUCUUAAUUUGGCAAGGAACAUCAUUUUGCUUUGCAAGUGUUUGGUGAUCAGGGGGCUGUGCAAGUGAUGAAGCCGAUGAUCAUGGGAUAUUCUUGUUUCCUUUAAGGUGCCUACUCACGUUGUAAGGCUGAAGAACUUCGGUCUUCUAUUCUGUGGAUUAAUCAGCGUGGUCUUAAUAGUGUGUUAGUUGAGAUAUUUUUGCAGGAA